Molecule: transfer RNA, 72 nt
Filed under: Stegodyphus mimosarum
Lineage: Eukaryota; Metazoa; Arthropoda; Arachnida; Araneae; Eresidae
Rfam family: tRNA
About the family: Transfer RNA (tRNA) molecules are approximately 80 nucleotides in length.
Source: Rfam by way of RNAcentral
ACUUUUGUGGUGUAUAGGUGGCACACUAGGCUCGUAUUCAAGAGGUCCGUGGUUCGUGUCCCGGCGAGGGCA